UUUUUUUUUUUUGUUUUAAAAAAAAAAAAAAAAAAAAAAAAAA
Molecule: non-coding RNA, 43 nt
Filed under: uncultured Mamiellales
Lineage: Eukaryota; Viridiplantae; Chlorophyta; Mamiellophyceae; Mamiellales
Source: RNAcentral